Molecule: RNA transcript, 4629 nt
Organism: Metopolophium dirhodum (rose-grain aphid)
Lineage: Eukaryota; Metazoa; Arthropoda; Insecta; Hemiptera; Aphididae
Gene name: major facilitator superfamily domain-containing protein 6-like
Exons: 8
Source: RefSeq, a predicted model, not a curated record
UUAUACUGCUGAUCCUAAAAUAUGAUUUGAUUAUAAUGGUAAACGACAAAAUGUCAUUCAAGUACAUGUUACAUACAAUUUUAAAUUACACUUUAUAGUACUAGUAUUUCAUAUUGAGAUUUUUUAUAGUAAAUUAAAUAGAAAAGAAAAUGUUUCAAUUGAUUUACAUAAAAUAUUUACUUUUUAAUAAUUUGAGUAAUUGUUUUUUGUGUAUAACUUUGUGACAAAAUUCAAAUUUGAAAUAAGUUUACUUACAUGUAAAUUGUAAUAUUUACUGGUAAACGUCUGAUCAUUACGGUCGUACCACAGAAUAGAAACAAGUUAAAUCCACCCAGUAUUGCCUAUUUGCCUCACAACAAAACCAUUUUUAUUUCCCGUUUUAUGCUAACGGAAUUGUAAUGGUUUGUUAAACUGGUAAAUAGGAAAGUCGAUAUUUUUUUUUAUAUUUUACUGUUAUUAUUUUUUAAAUUAUUUUAUUACUUACUAGCUGCGUUAUCUGACUUCGCUCGGGUUGCAAUUAAUCUAUCGUCUUCCGUGUUGAUUCAGUUGAUAUAUAUAUAUAAUACAAAUACAACUGCAUAAAUUGAUUUUAUGAUUUUUGACAUCACAGUUCUAAACAUAUUUUUGAAGUAAAGACAAAAUACUGAAGGCAGAUGCAACAAAUGCUUAAAAGCCGACGUAAAUGAAAUGUUAUUAAAAGAUUAUCAAUAGUCUUUAAAUGGUUAAUAUAAUUUUUUUUUAUUUUACACAAUAAUAUAUACAAUCUGUACAAAUUAUGCACAAUUAGCAUAAUUGAUAAGAGUUACAAUAAUAUAUUAGUACGUGAGUAAGAAGCCACCCACUAGUGGCACUUUACUGGGAAAAACCUAACCUAACAAAUAUAUUUGUAAAAAAUUGUAUAAUAUUCCAUAUUUCUACUAAUUUUAAUAAUACUUACUAACAAAAGAUAUUCAAUUUUCGUGAGCCAAGACUAAAUUCAAUGGUGACCCGCCUUAUAAGAGACACCUUAUAUAAACACACCUCCCGAGUUUCAAAAUAAUCUAUUGAUAUAACUUAUAUUGAAAACAGACCAUUAGUUUUUAGCUCACUGUGACCAAACCAACAAAUAAACACGUUUUUUUAUAUUAUAAUAGAUUAUGAUUUUAUGAAUUUUGGGCUGAAAUGUUUAAAUGCAAAAAGAUUAUUCAUAAAUACAAAGGUGCAUAGUUCAGCGUUAAGAUGAAACUAAUCGUAUGAACUUUAUCAAUGAUUGGUAAAAUUGGUUAAUCUCUAUAAUAUUCAGUUUAAAAUUAUGAUUGAAUUCUUCAAACUCAUUUAAAAACAAUAUAUAUACCUAUAUGUGUUUUACACAGGCAGUAUUAAAAUGACUGCCUUAAAAUUCAGUAAUAUAUACUUUUUGCUAACGAAAAGACAAUUAUUUAGUUCUAAACCAAUUUUAUUUGUAUGGCAUUUAAAAAUAAAAACCGGGGAAGUCGCUCUGCUGUGUUAGCAGUGAAACAAGUUAACACCAGCGUUUACGUAACGUAUUAGUUCGAUACCCGGCGACUAAUAUAAUAUUAAACUAUUUUAUGAAAAUAACGUGAUUAAAAAUAAUAUAUUAUUAUGACGCAAUUUGAAUUAAAUCCUAUACAAUAACGAAAUAAAAAAAUCAGUAAUCCUUGUUAAGUGUAACCACAUACUACUCGCGUGGAUUUAUGUAUCUGUAAAUACACUUACAGAACACACUCUUACUCGCAUAUAUACAGAGAGACGAAUUGCGUCGUUUAACUGUGUAAACUAUUCGUAUAUGGGAAAACGGUGCGGUUAAUUAAAUGUUUUUCGAGAAACAUAGAUUUGUAUUGUAGAUUUUCGUUGGUUUUAUUGUCGAAUGGCUAAUAUAUUUUAUUUAAAUAUAAAAUUUAUAUAUUUGCGUCAAAAGUAUAUUGACAAACACUAAAUUGUAGGUUAAGUAUACUAAAUAGGUAAUCUAUACAAACUACAACAUUAUAGGUACCUAGGUUUUAGUAUGGGAAACGAUUACUUAUAAACGUUAUAUUAUAAUAUGAUGAUUGAUGGUGUAUACUAUUGAUUAUUUAAUAAACAACAAUAAUUAAAGUAUUCAACUAUCUUCUUAUAUUAAAACGUCAAUAUUUCUCAGUUAUUCUAGAUAUCUAUAGGAUUCAAAUGUCCUAUUAACACUUUCAAUAUUGUGACAAAAUAGUGAACUGAAAAAAUAAUUAUUCAUUUCCAGUUUAAAUGUAAACAUAUAUUUUCAAAAUGCCUCUUUUUCAGAUAAACAAGAAACUUUUACCGAUAAAACUUCAUUUUUUUUUUAUAAUGGCCGGUGCAGCUCCUAUACUUCCAUUCUUAUCGACAAUUUCGAAGCAAAGGGGCUAUUCACCGGUCAUUGUUGGUUUAAUCUUCACAAUUCUUCCACUUCUGGGCUUAUUGGUACGACCACUUAUUGGUGCAAUCACAGACAAAUACAAAUGCCGCAAGUCUGUUUUCAUUUUGACUAUAGCAAUCAGGUGUCUAAUUAUAACUAUGCUAAUGUUCAUGCCGGGUUCGGCCGUCAAAAUAGAAAUGGAUGACGCGGAUGUGAUCAAGUCACCAAUAUUUUGGUUAUUUUUUUGCACAGUUACUUUAUACAAAAUAGAUUGUAAUAUAACAACUGUUUUGGAAGACACGAUAUGCAUUGAUAUAUUAGGUGAAAACAAAACUAAAUACGGCCAUCAGAGGAUGUGGGGCGCAAUCGGUUAUGGCACAGUGUCAAUUGUAUCUGGUGUGUGUGUAGACUGGCUCAGUAAAGGACUAGACUACAAAAACUAUACACCUGGUUUCAUUAUUUCAUUGAUAUGUAGUAUUAUAGAUACAUACGUGGUAUCAAAUAUGCCUUAUGUCCAAAACCGGGAAAUUAAAACUAGAUCAUACGAUAUAAAAAUAGUAUUGACUAAGACAAGAGUACUAUCAUUUCUUUUAUGGGUUAUGGCAUAUGGAAUACUAUUACCAUUUAUAUGGCAUUAUUUAUUUUGGUAUAUGGAAGACAUUUCUAACAUUUACCACCCCGAAACAAAACCGUACAUAAAGACCAUCCAAGGAUUGUCGUUGACCAUUCAAUGUUUCGGUGGAGAAGUUCCAUUUUUCUUCCUGUCCAAUUUUAUCCUCAAACGUGUGGGUCACAUGAACGUGUUCUCUUUGAUGUUCUUUGCAUUCGCUGUCAGAUUCUACCUGUAUUCAAUAAUUACGAAUCCCGUUUGUGUAUUACCAGUCGAACUACUCAAUGGUAUAACGUACGCAUUAGCGUACUCCGCUGCCAUUUCGUACGCAGCAGAACUAGCUCCCGUGGGUGCCGAGGGAACUCUUCAAGGCAUCGUUGGAACAACUCUGGAGGAAAUAGGGACGCCCAUUGGCAGUUCUGUCGGUGGUUAUCUGUUUAAUCAUUUCGGAAGUAUUACUUCGUACAAAUUUAUAAGUGGUUUUGCUUUAGCAGUAUGUAUUUGUCAAAUGAUGGUUGAACGAUUGAUAAAUCGUUUUUCUAAAAAUGACACUGUCAAAGAAGAAGUGUCUUGUUCUAGUUAUUUUACCGUUGAUCCUAAAUUGAGUGUUAAUGAUAAUCUUAUAUAAUACGAUUUUUUUUUUCAAUCCGUAUAGAUUGGUUUAUUAUGAAAAAUUCUUCUUCUAACGAUAUUUUUAUACACCUAUAAUAAUAUUGUAUGUGACAUUAUUAUUCUAAAUUUAGUUAUAUAAAUAAUAUAAAACAAAAUUAUAUAUUAACUUUAUUCUUAAAUUUGUUGUCUAAUGACUUGUAUUUUAUUUAUAUUUUCCAUAUCAUUUUCAUUUUUUUUUUGCAUACGUUUAACUAAGAUCAGUUUUUUUUUUAAAUGUCAGAUUUUUCUGUUUUAUCUUAUAAUAAACCAAUAAAAAAUUAUUAUUAGAAUAUUGAUACUUAAAAAUAUUAAUUUGUGAGGCAUCAGGUAAAGUAGUUAGUUACAUCAAAAUAGUUCACGCAAGUCUACGCCUAUUCGGAUGGCGCCUGCAGAGAGCGGCCAGUGGGUGUCACUGGGAUUUUUUUAAUGAACAAAAAAAUUAAUGUAUAAUAAUAUAAACAUGUGACUACCUAUGUAUGUAUAACAUAAAUUUAAUUUUGCACCCAAUGAGCUGAUUUUCUGCGAGCGCCCCUGCCCCCAAAUUUGUCUGAUCGCUUCCGGAAAAAAGUGUAAACAAUUGUAAAUAAUUGUAAAUUCAAUCCCCAAAUUUGUAAAUUAUCAGAAAACUUAGAAAUCAAAAAACAAGUCAGGGGGUCAAGAUCACGUAGUCCCCCGAAUUUGACCGAUCGACUUCGAACAAAUUGUAAUCAAUUGUAAAUUAAUUGUAAAUAUUUUUAAAUUAAAUUUGCAAGUUUGUAAAUCAGCAUGAAGCUUAGAAAUCAAAAAACAAAAGCCGGGAGACUACCAAGUUCACGCAGCCCCCGACUUUGGCCGAUCGACUUCGGACAAAUUGUGAAUAUGUAAAUUGAAAUUCGCCCAUCAACCCAUUCCUGUCGACAAUCGCCAAGCAGAGGGGCUACUCACCGUCGGUGGUCGGUAACAUUUUCACGUUGCUGUUGCUGCUGAACAUCGUAGUCAAACCGCUGACCGGAUACGUCACCGA